CCUACGGGUGGCAGCAGUCGAGAAUCAUUCACAAUGGGGGAAACCCUGAUGGUGCGACGCCGCGUGGGGGAAUGAAGGUCUUCGGAUUGUAAACCCCUGUCAUGUGGGAGCAAAUUAAAAAGAUAGUACCACAAGAGGAAGAGACGGCUAACUCUGUGCCAGCAGCCGCGGUAAUACAGAGGUCUCAAGCGUUGUUCGGAACCACUGGGCGUAAGGCGUGCGUAGGCUGUUUCGUAAGUCGUGUGUGAAAGGCGCGGGCUCAACCCGCGGACGGCACAUGAUACUGCGAGACUAGAGUAAUGGAGGGGGAACCGGAAUGCUCGGUGUAGCAGUGAAAUGCGUAGAUAGCGAGAGGAACACUCGUGGCGAAGGCGGGUUCCUGGACAUUAACUGACGCUGAGGCACGAAGGCCAGGGGAGCGAAAGGGAUUAGAUACCCUUGUAGUC
RNAcentral lists this ribosomal RNA (446 nucleotides) under uncultured bacterium. RNAcentral describes it as "partial 16S ribosomal RNA". It matches the Rfam family "Bacterial small subunit ribosomal RNA", at positions 338 to 795 of the family's 1533-position model. The record is from RNAcentral.